This 408-nucleotide ribosomal RNA is filed under the name uncultured bacterium. RNAcentral's name for it is "partial 16S ribosomal RNA". It matches the Rfam family "Bacterial small subunit ribosomal RNA", at positions 28 to 526 of the family's 1533-position model. The record is from RNAcentral.
GACGAACGCUGGCGGCGUGCUUAACACAUGCAAGUCGAACGAAGUGGCGAACGGGUGAGUAAUACGUGAGUAACCUGCCCUCCUUUUUGGGAUAAGCCUUGGAAACGGGGUCUAAUACCGAAUAAAGGGUGAUGGGCUCGCGGCCUUUCAGCUUGUUGGUGGGGUGAUGGCCUACCAAGGCGGUGACGGGUAGCCGGCCUGAGAGGGUGACCGGACACAUUGGGACUGGGAUACGGCCCAGGGUCCUACGGAGGGCAGCAGUGGGGGAUAUUGGACAAUAGGCGAAAGCGUGAUGCAGCGAGGGCGCGUGGGGGUUGCGGGCUUUCGGGUUGUAAUCCUCUUUCGCUAUCGAAGGGGUAGGUGGAGAAGAAGCGCCGGCUAACUACGUGCCAGCAGCCGCGGUAAUUC